GAUGAACGCUGGCGGCGUGCCUAAUACAUGCAAGUCGAGCGAAUGGACGAGAAGCUUGCUUCUCUGAUGUUAGCGGCGGACGGGUGAGUAACACGUGGAUAACCUACCUAUAAGACUGGGAUAACUUCGGGAAACCGGAGCUAAUACCGGAUAAUAUUUUGAACCGCAUGGUUCAAAAGUGAAAGACGGUGUUGCUGUCACUUAUAGAUGGAUCCGCGCUGCAUUAGCUAGUUGGUAAGGUAACGGCUUACCAAGGCAACGAUGCAUAGCCGACCUGAGAGGGUGAUCGGCCACACUGGAACUGAGACACGGUCCAGACUCCUACGGGAGGCAGCAGUAGGGAAUCUUCCGCAAUGGGCGAAAGCCUGACGGAGCAACGCCGCGUGAGUGAUGAAGGUCUUCGGAUCGUAAAACUCUGUUAUUAGGGAAGAACAUAUGUGUAAGUAACUGUGCACAUCUUGACGGUACCUAAUCAGAAAGCCACGGCUAACUACGUG
RNAcentral lists this ribosomal RNA (497 nucleotides) under uncultured bacterium. RNAcentral's name for it is "partial 16S ribosomal RNA". It matches the Rfam family "Bacterial small subunit ribosomal RNA", at positions 28 to 507 of the family's 1533-position model. The record is from RNAcentral.